Molecule: ribosomal RNA, 563 nt
Filed under: uncultured bacterium
Lineage: Bacteria
Description: bacterial SSU rRNA
Rfam family: Bacterial small subunit ribosomal RNA
Source: RNAcentral
CCUACGGGAGGCAGCAGCAAGGAAUAUUGUGCAAUGGGCGAAAGCCUGACACAGCGACGCCGCGUGAGGGAUGAAGACCUUCGGGUUGUAAACCUCUUUUGCCAGGGACGAAUAAUGACGGUACCUGGCGAAUAAGUCUCGGCCAACUACGUGCCAGCAGCCGCGGUAAUACGUAGGAGGCAAGCGUUAUCCGGAUUUAUUGGGCGUACAGAGAGUGUAGGCGACUCGUCAAGUCGAACGUAAAAUCUUCCGGCUUAACUGGAAGGGACCAUUCGAUACUGACGGGCUGGAGUGCCGUAGAGGAAAGCGGAAUUCCCGGUGUAGUGGUGAAAUGCGUAGAUAUCGGGAGGAACACCAGUGGCGAAGGCGGCUUUCUAGGCGGCUACUGACGCUGAGGCUCGAAAGCGUGGGGAGCGAACAGGAUUAGAUACCCUGGUAGUCCACGCUGUAAACUAUGGACACUAGGUAUGGGGAGUAUCGACCCUCUCUGUGCCGAAGCUAACGCGUUAAGUGUCCCGUCUGGGGACUACGGCCGCAAGGCUAAAACUCAAAGGAAUUGACGG